GACGAACGCUGGCGGCGUGCUUAACACAUGCAAGUCGAACGGAAAGGCCCUGCUUUUGUGGGGUGCUCGAGUGGCGAACGGGUGAGUAGCACGUGAGUAACCUGCCCUUGACUUUGGGAUAACUUCAGGAAACUGGGGCUAAUACCGGAUAGGAGCUCCUGCUGCAUGGUGGGGGUUGGAAAGUUUCGGCGGUUGGGGAUGGACUCGCGGCUUAUCAGCUUGUUGGUGGGGUAGUGGCCUACCAAGGCUUUGACGGGUAGCCGGCCUGAGAGGGUGACCGGCCACAUUGGGACUGAGAUACGGCCCAGACUCCUACGGGAGGCAGCAGUGGGGAAUAUUGCACAAUGGGCGGAAGCCUGAUGCAGCAACGCCGCGUGCGGGAUGACGGCCUUCGGGUUGUAAACCGCUUUCGCCUGUGACGAAGCGUGAGUGACGGUAAUGGGUAAAGAAGCACCGGCUAACUACGUG
Molecule: ribosomal RNA, 468 nt
Filed under: uncultured bacterium
Lineage: Bacteria
Description: partial 16S ribosomal RNA
Rfam family: Bacterial small subunit ribosomal RNA
Source: RNAcentral